RNAcentral lists this ribosomal RNA (307 nucleotides) under Chloropicon laureae. RNAcentral's name for it is "partial Bacterial large subunit ribosomal RNA". It matches the Rfam family "Bacterial large subunit ribosomal RNA", at positions 1976 to 2294 of the family's 2925-position model. Lineage: Eukaryota; Viridiplantae; Chlorophyta; Chloropicophyceae; Chloropicales; Chloropicaceae. The record is from RNAcentral.
GUAAGUUCCGACCUGCACGAAUGGUGCAACGAUCUGGGCACUGUCUCAACCAUGAUCUCGGUGAAAUUGUAGUAUCGGUGAAGAUGCCGGUUACCCGCAGUGGGACGAAAAGACCCCGUGCACCUUUACUAUAGCUUCGUAUUGACCUUGGUCAAACAAUGUGUAGGAUAGCUGGGAGGCUUUGAAUCUGCGUCGCCAGGCGUGGGGGAGCCGUUGUUGAAAUACCAGCCUUUGUUUGAUCGGGGCCUAACCUCUAACGAGGGACAGUGCGUGGUGGGUAGUUUGACUGGGGCGGUCGCCCCCCCAA